Molecule: long non-coding RNA, 804 nt
Organism: Cyprinus carpio (common carp)
Lineage: Eukaryota; Metazoa; Chordata; Actinopteri; Cypriniformes; Cyprinidae
Exons: 3
Source: RefSeq, a predicted model, not a curated record
GAAUGCAGUGGAGUUGCACAGUUUUCUUUACCGCAUCCGUGAUAUUGAAGAUUUAAGAUCAUAUUUUGCUUUUUUAAUUUCAUUUGUUUUAUUGAACUGACAAUCGAGAUUAAAGGAAGAUAUUUUUAUCAGAAAACGGAGUACGUGGAUUGUUUUAUUGGACACGGAGCGAGUGACACCAAAACUGAAACUAAAUGCGCACUCACAGUGUUGUUGUCUAUUAGACAUAACGUUACACAUUUAGUUAACAUUUUGAUAUUUGUAGAUUGACCCCAUUAACUUACAUUCUCAUCUGCCCUCUCCUAACAUUACCAGAGAUUCUUCACAAACUCUUUCAUCAUCAUCAUCAUAUUGUUCACUGGUGUGUUCAGUGGUGAAUGUGGGCCAUGUGACUCUCUCCUGGUACAAAGGAAACAGUUUAUUGUCCAGCAUCAGUGUGUCUGAUCUCAGCAUCAGUCUCUCUCUACCUCUGGAGGUGGAAUAUCAGGAUAACAACAGCUACAGCUGUGUGAUCAACAAUCCCAUCAGCAACCAGACCACACAUCUCAACAUCACUGAACUUUGUUGGCCGUGUUCAGAUCAGGAGCUACCUUCAUAUAACAUAGGGUUGAUCUCUGCUGCUGUUGGAUCUUUUUUAAUUGUAGCCACAGUCGUGAUGUGCUGGAUCUGCAAGAAAUGUAGGAAAAUUGACAGAGAAGGCAAGUGUUUUGUACUGCUUUUAAACAAGUAAUGUGAAUAAUACUCUAAAUAUUUCAGUUAAUUAAUACACAAAAUUAUCAAUGACUCAAAUACACUGCGUUAAAA